CCCUCGCCUCACCUCCAGGGCGGCCUCGGAGCAAAAGAGUGGCGGGUAACACCAGCAGGAGAAGCAGCAGCAGGCGGGAGAAGGGCUUCAUGGCGCGGCCGCUCCGGCGCCCAGUCCCCGUCCGCAACGACUCUCGGCGGCUCCGGCGGUGGAUUCUUAACCACUGCACCACCAGGGAAGCCCAAACUAGUUUGCCAGACUGCUCGGCUCGCAGGAUCUUCGUUCCCCGACCAGGGACUGAACCCGAGUCCUCGGCAGUGAAAGCACUGAGUGCCAACCACUGGUCUGCCAGGGAAUUCCCUGAUUUUUAAUAAUUCAGAAAUAUGAUAAUAGACUUCUCCAUUAAAAAAUAAAUUACGUUAACCACUUUUUAAUUAAGGUGGGAUCCAAAUGGGCUGUAACUCUCUAGAUACCAAGAUAUUUUUAUGUUCUUCCCAUGUAUUUUUCCUGUUUUAUCUGCCUUUAUCUUAAAUUUUCCAGCUUUAUUGAGAUAUAGUUGAUAUAACACUGUGUAAGUUUAAGGUAUACAACGUGUUGAUUUGAUACACUUAUAUAUUGCAAAAUGAUUACCACUAUAACUUAGCUAACACCUCCAUCCCCUCACAUAAUUACCAUUUUCCUUGUGAUGCCUUUAUCUUUAGAUGCCAUCUAAAGUAUGAGUGCCAUUUUCCAAAGCACAUCCCUUAAUCAUGAUUGCUGUAGACACCUGCUGCUGUAAGACUAGUGGUAGCAUAUGCAACAAUAUAAAUGUGCCCCAUCCACUAUGAAAAACUGCACAUAUUUGAAAAUUUCUGCAUUUUGAAAGAAAAAAAAUCUGAUUAAACAGAAAUCAGGUGGAACAAUAUUUAAAAUUUCAAAACCUGAAAAUGCAAACUUCAAUUGUAUAUUUUUGUGGGUGAAUAAUGCUGCUACUAUGCCAGUGUGUGACCAUUUCAAUGAGCAAAAUUUUUGAAGGUUGAUAAUUUCCUGAACUUGUUAAUAAAAUGGUGUUGUAUAUAAAAAUGCUAGCAAAGCAACAAAAGGUGUUUCUUACCAAGAAAUCAAGCUCUUCAUUUAGGUUGUGGUACUGAUCCAGUUUGGCUCCCAGUAAGACAGGUACCUCUCCGACAUUCUUGGCUUCAUUUGAAUCCAAGUCUGUAACCUGAGAUGAAACAUAUUUGUACUCACUUCCAGUAUGUUCACACUCCUUGGAACAUUUGACAAUGAAUAUGUUAUUAGUUUAACCAUCAGAGAGAUCUCCAGUGGUUUCAAUAACAGAUGUGUAGAACUUGGAGUCAGAAUGACUUCAAUGUUAAGUAUCUAAAAUUGUAUUUUUGUAUGUUAAAGACAGUACAUAGUGAAUGUUUAACUCACCUCUGUAACCUGAUCUUGAAAUGAUUUUUCAUUAGCAAUUAACUCUCUGAAAGCUGUGAUUCUGUCUUUAUGUUUCAGUAGCUAAGGAGAAAAGCAUUUUCUAUUUCAGAGGAGAGGAAAUAAAACUACAUUCCGUAACAUUUAUAAUAAAGUCACCAAACCAUGCACAGUCCAA
Long non-coding RNA from Lagenorhynchus albirostris (white-beaked dolphin), 1528 nucleotides. RefSeq lists it as uncharacterized. The transcript has 3 exons. Lineage: Eukaryota; Metazoa; Chordata; Mammalia; Artiodactyla; Delphinidae. The record is from RefSeq and is a predicted model, not a curated record.